Molecule: ribosomal RNA, 1374 nt
Filed under: uncultured bacterium
Lineage: Bacteria
Description: bacterial SSU rRNA
Rfam family: Bacterial small subunit ribosomal RNA
Source: RNAcentral
GCUCAGGACGAACGCUGGCGGCGUGCUUCAUACAUGCAAGUCGAACGAGAAGCAAGAGCUUGCUCUUGUGGAAAGUGGCGGACGGGUGAGUAACACGUAGGGAAUCUGCCUUUAGGAUGGGGACAACAGUUGGAAACGACUGCUAAAACCCGAUAUGAGGUAAGUUGAAAUACUUAUCUUGAAAACUCCGGUGCCUAGAGAUGAGCCUGCGUCUGAUUAGCUGGUUGGCGGGGUAAAUGCCCACCAAGGCGACGAUCAGUAGCUGGUUUGAGAGGAUGAUCAGCCACAAUGGGACUGAGACACGGCCCAUACUCCUACGGGAGGCAGCAGUAGGGAAUUUUGCGCAAUGGGGGAAACCCUGACGCAGCAACGCCGCGUGAACGAAGAAGCCCUUCGGGGUGUAAAGUUCUGUCAGUAGGGAAGAAUUAAUGACUGUACCUACAGAGGAAGCACCGGCUAACUCCGUGCCAGCAGCCGCGGUAAUACGGAGGGUGCAAGCGUUGUCCGGAAUCAUUGGGCGUAAAGCGUUCGUAGGCGGCAUAUCAAGUCUGGUGUUAAAGCCCGGGGCUUAACUCCGGUAGGGCACUGGAUACUGGUAAGCUGGAAUGAGGUAGAGGUAAUGGGAAUUCCUGGUGUAGCGGUGAAAUGCGUAGAUAUCAGGAGGAACAUCGGUGGCGUAAGCGCAUUACUGGGCCUUAAUUGACGCUGAGGAACGAAAGCCGGGGGAGCAAAUGGGAUUAGAUACCCCAGUAGUCCCGGCCGUAAACGAUGGAUACUAGGUGUUGUGGGUAUCGACCCCUACAGUGCCGCAGCCAACGCGAUAAGUAUCCCGCCUGGGGAGUACGCACGCAAGUGUGAAACUCAAAGGAAUUGACGGGGACCCGCACAAGCGGUGGAACAUGUGGUUUAAUUCGAAGCAACGCGAAGAACCUUACCAGGGCUUGACAUCGAUAGAAUCCUGAUGAAAGUCGGGAGUGCCUCCUUCGGGAGGAGCUAGAAGACAGGUGGUGCACGGUUGUCGUCAGCUCGUGUCGUGAGAUGUUGGGUUAAGUCCCGCAACGAGCGCAACCCUCGUUAUUAGUUGCUGAUGUUGGUACACUGACAUUGAGCUCUCUAAUAAGACUGCCGGUGAUAAACCGGAGGAAGGUGAGGACGACGUCAAAUCAUCAUGCCCCUUAUGCUCUGGGCUACACACGUGUUACAAUGGCUAAGAACAACGAGCAGCCAACUCGCGAGAGUGAGCGAAUCUCUAAAAAUUAGUCUCAGUUCGGAUUGCACUCUGCAACUCGAGUGCAUGAAGUCGGAAUCGCUAGUAAACGCAGAUCAGCACGCUGCGUUGAAUACGUUCCCGGGUCUUGCACACACCGCCCGUCA